GGGCUUGUAGCUCAGCUUGGUUAGAGCGCACGCCUGAUAAGCGUGAGGUCGGAAGUUCAAGUCUUCUCAAGCCCACCA
RNAcentral lists this transfer RNA (78 nucleotides) under Rickettsiaceae bacterium. RNAcentral's name for it is "tRNA-Ile". It matches the Rfam family "tRNA". From Rfam's summary of the family: Transfer RNA (tRNA) molecules are approximately 80 nucleotides in length. The record is from RNAcentral. Lineage: Bacteria; Pseudomonadati; Pseudomonadota; Alphaproteobacteria; Rickettsiales; Rickettsiaceae.